UACAGAGGGUGCAAGCGUUAAUCGGAAUUACUGGGCGUAAAGGGUGCGCAGGCGGUUCUGCAAGUCAGGCGUGAAAUCCCCGGGCUCAACCUGGGAACUGCAUUCGAGACUGCAUUGCUUGAGUAUGGGAGAGGGAGGCGGAAUUUCAGGUGUAGCGGUGAAAUGCGUAGAUAUCUGAAGGAACAUCAGUGGCGAAAGCGGCCUCCUGGACCAAUACUGACGCUCAUGUGCGAAAGCGUGGGGAGCAAACAGG
RNAcentral lists this ribosomal RNA (253 nucleotides) under uncultured bacterium. RNAcentral describes it as "partial 16S ribosomal RNA". It matches the Rfam family "Bacterial small subunit ribosomal RNA", at positions 524 to 776 of the family's 1533-position model. The record is from RNAcentral.